This is a small nucleolar RNA of Pavo cristatus (Indian peafowl), 84 nucleotides long. Lineage: Eukaryota; Metazoa; Chordata; Aves; Galliformes; Phasianidae. The record is from Ensembl.
AUGCAGUGAUGAUCUCUUAAGUAGUGGUUUCAAUUCACUGAUAGUUGAAUGAAGACCUGAAUUUCCUUGGCUGUGUCUGAGCAU